Molecule: long non-coding RNA, 1129 nt
Filed under: Coturnix japonica (Japanese quail)
Lineage: Eukaryota; Metazoa; Chordata; Aves; Galliformes; Phasianidae
Description: lncRNA (ENSCJPG00005013078.1)
Source: RNAcentral
AGGUAUUUUCCAGGCCUAUUCUUAGGAACAUGGGUAUAGAAGCAUUUUUUUCUUCUUGUUCUUUUUGUGAUGCAAAGUCCCAGGACAUGUGUGAAAAGUUGGUGGCCUUGUGGAGUAAAGCAGUACAGGCACUAAAAAGCAAGUUUGGAGGUGUGGAGCUGAGGUUUGCUGGCUGAGUUCCUUUCUCUUGUUGAAAUAGUUCUGCAUCUUUAAUCAGACAAAAUCCCCCUUUUCACGAAUGCUCUCAGACCCCAAAUCUGUCUUCUGCUGCUAAAGCAGAGCUUUUUUGUGAUCCUGACAGACUACAAAAUGAAACAUGACCUGUUAUGAGUGACAGGGUUUCACUUACAAGUGACUGUAUUUGGGGAAAAAAAGAAAAGGAAAAAAAAAAAAAAAAGAGGGGCUUAAAAAAAAACUAAUGCAACCAAUAAUUAAUACAGGGAUUGAGCUUGCCUGAGGUUAACACGAGAGGCCCAGAGCUUAGGGGAGAUAAAAGAGGAUUAGAUGCUUCACUUGUAAGAACAGCAUCCAUCAGCUCCAGCAGAUAAGAUAAUUAGUUACAAGGGCCGUCAAGCCUUUUGCCGGCAGCAUUAGCAGCCCUGACUGGCAGCUGAGUCAGGUUGUUGCCACGCAGCCACAAGCAGAGCACAAUUAGUGAGAUGCAGGGCUGCCUUCCUUGGAACUGAGCUGGUGGCUGCGGCUGGGUGCCCGGACCUGGGAGGGUUUGCAAAGAAGGAAAACAUCUUGCUGUGCUGGAUCAAUCAUUUCACCGCGCCGUGCCCUGGCUCCUAAGACCAUUUCUCUCCCUGGCCAGCUGCCUCCACAUGUGGGUUCGGUUGCAUCAGCCCCUAUACCCGCUCAGCAGUUAGUGGGCCAAAUUCUGUCUGUUCUUGGAUUCAGGGACAAUCUCAGUCGAGUUGCAGAGGUAAAAACGAAGCUAGAACAGGGCCUCCUUUCCUAUUCUCCUUCCCUCCUUGGAGAAGCAGAAGAUUAAUGGGAGUUUGCUUUGCCUGGUGUUUUCUGUCUGAGAAAAGUGGUUCACCUUCUGGGACAGUCAGCCCACGAUGGUUCAGGUCAGCACAACUCUGCCAAUGCUUCCUUGUUGUCCAGAAAAGCUUAUUUUGAGCAU